AUACGUAGGCAGCAAGCGUUGUUCGGAGUUACUGGGCGUAAAGAGUGCGUAGGUGGUUCUCUAAGUUCGGUGUGAAAUCUCCCGGCUCAACUGGGAGGGUGCGCCGAAAACUGGAGAGCUUGAGUAUGGGAGAGGAGAGCGGAAUUCCUGGUGUAGCGGUGAAAUGCGUAGAUAUCAGGAGGAACACCUGUGGUGCAGACGGCUCUCUGGACCAUUACUGACACUGAGGCGCGAAAGCUAGGGGAGC
Molecule: ribosomal RNA, 247 nt
Filed under: uncultured bacterium
Lineage: Bacteria
Description: partial 16S ribosomal RNA
Rfam family: Bacterial small subunit ribosomal RNA
Source: RNAcentral